This is a long non-coding RNA of Chinchilla lanigera (long-tailed chinchilla), 611 nucleotides long. Ensembl lists it as uncharacterized. The record is from Ensembl. Lineage: Eukaryota; Metazoa; Chordata; Mammalia; Rodentia; Chinchillidae.
UACAGGAGAGACAACUAAGGCGCAAGACAGUUGUAUUCCUUUCCACUGGUCAGAGGCCUCAUGAGUGGAGAGUAUUGGAUUUGAUGUGUGUUGGGAGAAUCAGGGAAAUUGUUGUAAUUGAUAUUGUCAACAGAGGACACUUUCUGCAGCACUGGGUGUAUCAUUCUUCUGCCAACCCAUUCACUGAAGGAUUUCCUGUGGAGAGCUCCCCCCAGAGGAAGAAAGCUUUAUGGGGGAGUAACCAUCAUGCAGAACAGGAAGCAUGGAUAGUCAAUAAGCAUAUAAAGGAUGCUCAGCCUCAUCAUUAACUUGAGAGUGAGAUGCAUUUCAUGAACCUACCAGAUUGGUAAAAAUGUAAAAGUCUGAUAAAACCAAGUGUUUGCACAGAUCCACAGCAACAGGAACAUUUCUUUGGUUUCUGGGAAGAGUGUAAAGUGUUACAACCUCUCUGUAACAUAAAUUGUGCAUCAUCUAGUGAAUCUGAAUAUUUGAAUACUUAAAACCUUACAAUUCUGAAUGGAUUUAUACUCUAGAGAAACUCUUCUACACAUUCAUAAGAAGAAUGUACAAUAAUGUUCAUAUUGUUUGAAAUGAACAAUAACGCUCAUAUU